UACGGGGGGGGCAAGCGUUGUUCGGAAUUACUGGGCGUAAAGGGUGCGUAGGCGGUUCGCUAAGUUGGAUGUGAAAACUCUGGGCUUAACCCAGAGCCUGCAUCCAAUACUGACGAGCUAGAGUUCUGGAGGGGGUAGCGGAAUUCCUGGUGUAGCGGUGAAAUGCGUAGAUAUCAGGAGGAACACCGGUGGCGAAGGCGGCUUGCUGGGCCAAUGCUGACGCUGAGGCGCGAAAGCGUGGGGAGCAAACAGG
RNAcentral lists this ribosomal RNA (253 nucleotides) under uncultured bacterium. RNAcentral describes it as "partial 16S ribosomal RNA". It matches the Rfam family "Bacterial small subunit ribosomal RNA", at positions 524 to 776 of the family's 1533-position model. The record is from RNAcentral.